CCUACGGGUGGCAGCAGUGGGGAAUAUUGCACAAUGGGGGGAACCCUGAUGCAGCGACGCCGCGUGGGUGAGGAAGUACUUCGGGAUGUAAAGCCCUAUCAGCAGGGAAGAAAAUGACGGUACCUGACUAAGAAGACCAGGCUAACUACGGACCAGCAGCCGCGGGAAGACGAAGGGGGCAAGCGUUAACCGGGUUUACUGGGUGGAAAGGGAGCGUAGACGGGGUGCCAAUUCUGAUGUGAAAGGCCGGGGCACAACCCCGGGACUGCAUGGGAAACUGGCAUGCUGGAGUGCCGGAGGGGCAAGCGGAAUUCCAAGUGUAGCGGUGAAAUGCGUAGAUAUUAGGAGGAACACCGGUGGCGAAGGCGGCUUGCUGGACGGUAACUGACGUUGAGGCUCGAAAGCGUGGGGAGCAAACAGGAUUAGAUACCCUUGUAGUC
RNAcentral lists this ribosomal RNA (440 nucleotides) under uncultured bacterium. RNAcentral describes it as "partial 16S ribosomal RNA". It matches the Rfam family "Bacterial small subunit ribosomal RNA", at positions 338 to 795 of the family's 1533-position model. The record is from RNAcentral.